GGGGCUGACCGGUUUUGACAGUAAGUGUGAAUAUCGGGCUCGCAUGCAGGCUGGAGUAUGUACGGCCUUGAAAGAUUCAUACACACUAUAAAUGGCGAAAAUUCUUACGCCAUGGCUGCCUAAUCUAACCUCAUAGGAUAGAUUGCUUAAAGGGUUGAGUCACGAUAGUGAUUCCCCGGCCACAUCUCACCGCCCGUUAUCUGAUCCGGGUGGAUCUGAGGUGUCGACUUGAUCGGGUUGCGGCUUGUGAUGCUAUUAAGCAGGUCUAAGGUCAAUAGCUAAGCCGAGACAAGGUGUGUCAUCCAGCAUAUCUCGGUCGAAAACCGAACAGGUGACUAAGCAUGUAGACGGUACGUUGUUUCCUUAUCUGGACGCGAGUUCGAAUCUCGCCAGCUCCACGU
RNAcentral lists this transfer-messenger RNA (401 nucleotides) under Algoriphagus halophytocola. RNAcentral's name for it is "Algoriphagus sp. TR-M5 transfer-messenger RNA". It matches the Rfam family "transfer-messenger RNA". From Rfam's summary of the family: Bacterial tmRNA, also known as 10Sa RNA or SsrA, is named for its dual tRNA and mRNA-like properties. Its role is to liberate the mRNA from a stalled ribosome. Lineage: Bacteria; Pseudomonadati; Bacteroidota; Cytophagia; Cytophagales; Cyclobacteriaceae. The record is from RNAcentral.